AUAUUGCUAACUUCUUAGUCCUUUGAAGAAAAAUCAAAUUUCUUCUUGAGGAAAGACUUUUGAAACCCACAAUAUGAAUUCAAGAAGCAAAAAGAAAAUCAGAUUUCACAAACAGGAUACCAGUAGCUUGGAAGAAUCCAUUGCUUUUGCAGGGUUUGUUGUUGAGGGAACCCUGUCUUUCCCAGUGCCCUUGACAUUUCUUCCUCAAAUAAAAAAGGCACAUUGAUCCGGAAUGGUUAAAGAUUUGUCUCAUUUCCUUGCCAAGGAGGAUUAUGUUUCCAGCUUUUUGUUAAUUCUCAGCAUUUCAACCAUUGCUGCUGAUAACAUCCUGCAUUACUGUGCUAGGUAUUCCUUGGACCCAAGGAGUGGAAAGGGGGGUUUAAUCUGGACUGAGUUGGAGGAAAGGAAUAGGUGCCAGAGUAGAGGCCAGAAGGAUGGUGGAACUGGCACUGGGCCGGAACACAGAAAAUGGAAUCUAAUGCUAGGGGAGGUCUGAUGGCCUGGAGGAUAGGAAGAGGGGACCCACGAAGAAGUAGAAGUCACAUUUAACUCUAUUCUCACCAUUCCUCUCUUGGGCCUGUCCUAAACUGGAAGUUGGAGGAGGAUGGAGUGCUGGAAUGCUGCAGAAGUCUCAUGGGAGGGUGCCUGGUGCUCAGCACACAUGUACACGGUUGCUUAACCAGAUGAAAAUUUGAAUGCUGGGGUUCAGUGGAACACCUGAAGGAAGCUGGUGAGGCAGAUGCCCCACUGUGCCUUCCACGGGUCAUGCAGCCAGUUCAUGUGUGUCAGCAUUGCAGCCAGUGGACUCUGAGUCAGCAGAUCUACAGAGCAGAGAGCCCCAAGUGGGGACAGAUGUGGUCAAAUGCCACUUAAAUCACCGAUUCUCAAACCAGGAGUUGUCAUGGUACCAGCCUUGAGUGAGCUGGAACAAGGGAAGUGGUAGAAUUCUUCAUGAAGGACCGAGUGAGCAGGUAGAAAUGUCUCCAUUUUAACUUUUUCUGAGUCAAUCUAAGAAACAUCUAGUGCCUUUUUCUG
Non-coding RNA from Saimiri boliviensis boliviensis (Bolivian squirrel monkey), 1035 nucleotides. NCBI's taxonomy places the organism in Eukaryota, Metazoa, Chordata, Mammalia, Primates, Cebidae. The record is from RefSeq and is a predicted model, not a curated record.